AGUGAACGCUGGCGGUAGGCCUAACACAUGCAAGUCGAACGGCAGCACAGGAGAGCUUGCUCUCUGGGUGGCGAGUGGCGGACGGGUGAGGAAUACAUCGGAAUCUACUCUGUCGUGGGGGAUAACGUAGGGAAACUUACGCUAAUACCGCAUACGACCUACGGGUGAAAGCAGGGGACCUUCGGGCCUUGCGCGAUUGAAUGAGCCGGUGUCGGAUUAGCUAGUUGGCGGGGUAAAGGCCCACCAAGGCGACGAUCCGUAGCUGGUCUGAGGGGAUGAUCAGCCACACUGGAACUGGAACACGGGCCAGUGUCCUACGGGAGGCAGCAGUGGGGAGUAUUGGACAAUGGGCGCAAGCCUGAUCCAGCCAUACCGCGUGGGUGAAGAAGGCCUUCGGGUUGUAAAGCCCUUUUGUUGGGAAAGAAAUCCAGCUGGCUAAUACCCGGUUGGGAUGACGGUACCCAAAGAAUAAGCACCGGCUAACUUCGUGCCAGCCGCCGCGGUAA
RNAcentral lists this ribosomal RNA (506 nucleotides) under uncultured bacterium. RNAcentral describes it as "partial 16S ribosomal RNA". It matches the Rfam family "Bacterial small subunit ribosomal RNA", at positions 29 to 523 of the family's 1533-position model. The record is from RNAcentral.